UUACUAGUAUAAUUCUAUCUCCUGCUCUUUUCACAGCUAUUACAGCAUUUUUCAAUGUCAUGUCUAUAAUUAUGCCCACUCCAUUCUUGCUUCUGUCCUUUCCGAUAAAUCACAAUUUGUACCAUGAAUUACCCACUCCCUUGCUUUACAAAAUUCAAACUUAAAAUAGUAACUUUCAAAAUCAAAACAUAAAGAAAGAAGAUUCAGAAUGAAUAUCCUCCACAUAUCACGCUAUGAAAAACAAUAAGCACAAGACAACAAUAGCAACAUCUUCAGAUAGACUUAAAUACACAAACUAUACAAGCUCCUAGCCCGUUAUAAGAGAGUAUAAUUGAAUAUGUUCCUUUUAAUUUUUCAGUUACAACUGAAUUCGAUAUAUUCUUUGAGUUCAUUACAUGAAAUUUUAUCAUGUACAAUAAAGAUAAAUAUAAGAAUCCACAGUACAACUAAAAAUUAAAAUCUUUAUCUCCCCAGUAAAAGAUCAAAAUUAUCUAUUUUCAGCUUAGAUAGGAGGUAGCAAAAGGACAACUAUCAGAAACUAUCAAACUGUCCACAAAAAGUUAUAAAAUUCUCAUAAAAUCUAAAAUUUUUCACUCAAAACUGAAUUGAAAAUGGUGACUUUAACUUUUAAACUCUAUCAUAUACCAUGGGCAACUACACAUCAAGCAUGAUCGUACCCUAAUAUCAACGUUUUUUUCAACACAUCCAGAAACUAACUCAAUCCCCUCUAAAUCUGGGGAGAAGACACGGGGGAAAACAGUUAAAAAUGAAGAUAAUCGGAAAUUGAAUAGAUAAAGACGAGUUCAUAGCUUGCAAGCAAGAUACCUGGAGGUGAAAGAAAGAGAUG
RNAcentral lists this unclassified non-coding RNA (847 nucleotides) under Hevea brasiliensis (rubber tree). Lineage: Eukaryota; Viridiplantae; Streptophyta; Magnoliopsida; Malpighiales; Euphorbiaceae. The record is from RNAcentral.